This 1493-nucleotide long non-coding RNA is filed under the name Homo sapiens (human). Its description in RNAcentral is "HSALNT0068950". Lineage: Eukaryota; Metazoa; Chordata; Mammalia; Primates; Hominidae. The record is from RNAcentral.
GAAAGGAGACUGUGGGCAGCAAGUUUAGAGGCGUGACUGAAAGUCUUGCUGCGACCUGAGCUGCUGAAUCAGCUUUCUGGUUACUAUGGGCUACGGCCGUGUUUUCUUUUUGAUGUCCUUUGCAGUGGAUCACAGCUAGCUGCUGAGUCCUGGGAGAGAAGCAGAUGUGGUUUCCAAUACCACUUUCCAGAAGAGGAGACUGAGGAAGAGGCUUUACAGACACACCGAGGAUAUGUGAGGACAGGUGAAGGUCAUGAUCAUUGUCAGCCCCCUCCCCCAACCGGACAUUCCCAGAUCUGGUGGACUUCCAGCCAGAGGAGACAGAAGGACUGGAUCGCUCAACUCUGCCAGGGGUGCCAGGACCCAAUUUUUCCCUGGCUAACUCGGUCACCUCCUGUCUGGGAUCUCCAACUACUACCCAUCCCACAAGUCUCAGCUAAAACAGCAAUUCAACGGGAACUUUUUUCUGAGGCUCCAGGAUUGGGCCAGACCCUCUCCAUGGCUCUCUGCCCUUCCCCUACUGCAGAACUUAGCACCUGUAUGUCAGUAUUGGUUCAAACAUAUUUCUUUCGUAUGCUCUCCACGUUAUCUGCAGCAUCUGCCAAUAAUAAUGAAUGGUAAAACCUAAUCUCUAUUGAGUGUCGAUGAUGCACUUUUAAUGUGACAUCUUAUUUAAUCCUCACUAUAUCUGCAAGAGUAGAAGCUAUUAAUAGCCAAUUUUCAGAUAAGAAAAUCAAAGCACAGUUUCUGUAACUUACCCAAGCAGCUAGCUAGGAGGCAGCUCAGUUUGAGCCCAGGGAAUCACAUUCCAGAGACCGUGUUCUCAAUUACUAGAGCAGAUACCUCCCCAGAAUCUCGUAGGUGGUUAAUGAGUCUUUGUGGAAUAAAUGAACAGAAGGACAAACAGAUGGACGGAUACAUAGGUGGGUGGGUGGAUAGAUGGGUGGAUGGAAAGAUGGGUGGGCAGGGAGGUGGACGAAUGAAUGGAUGGUUGAGUCGGUGAAGGGAUGGCUGAGUGGGUGGAGAAAUGGAUGAGUGGGUGAAUGGGUGGAGGGAUAGAUAAAUGGAUGGACGGGUGGGUGGAUAGAUGGGUAGAUGAGUGAAUGGGUGGAUAGAUGCAUGGGUGAGUGGAUGGAUAGAUGGGUUGGUAGGUGGGUAGAUGGAUGAUAGCUGGGUGCGUAAGAGAGUGGGUUGGAUGGAUAGAUGGGUGGGUGGGUGGACAGAUGGGUAGGGGGUGGAUGGAUGUAUACAUGUCUGGAUGGAUGGAUGGAUGGAUGGAUGGAUGGAUGGAAGGGUGGAUGGAUGGAUGGACAGAAGAACAGAUGAACUUGAGCAUUUAUGCAGGGUCCUUCAAAGAACUGAGUGAUUUCCCUAGGGUGUCUCAUCACCUGCAGGUGGGUGGGCAAGGGGGCUUGCCUCUGUAAUACUCAUGAUAAUGGGUAGUGCUCAGCCUUAGUCACCACUCUCAGAACACUUUAUUGACCAGGAAAGUC